CGGGAGGUUGGCGUGGACGUACCACUCGCCAACCGGGUCAGGUCCGGAAGGAAGCAGCCCUAACGAGAUUUUGGCGCGGGUCACCGUCCAGCCUCCCACCU
This 101-nucleotide signal recognition particle RNA is filed under the name Roseibium litorale. RNAcentral describes it as "signal recognition particle sRNA small type". It matches the Rfam family "Bacterial small signal recognition particle RNA". Rfam says of the family: The signal recognition particle (SRP) is a universally conserved ribonucleoprotein involved in the co-translational targeting of proteins to membranes. Archaeal SRP consists of a 7S RNA and homologues of the eukaryotic SRP19 and SRP54 proteins. The record is from RNAcentral. Lineage: Bacteria; Pseudomonadati; Pseudomonadota; Alphaproteobacteria; Hyphomicrobiales; Stappiaceae.